Triticum aestivum (bread wheat) is the source of this 97-nucleotide non-coding RNA. The record is from Rfam. Lineage: Eukaryota; Viridiplantae; Streptophyta; Magnoliopsida; Poales; Poaceae.
CCGCUCGACGAUGAUGACAUGGUCUCCUACAUCCUCGCCGGACUCGACUUUGACUACAUCUCGUUCGUCUCGUCCAUCUGCGCUGCAAGAACCGAGC